UCUAAGGUCUCAAAGGUCAGUGUCUGCAA
This 29-nucleotide non-coding RNA is filed under the name Homo sapiens (human). Lineage: Eukaryota; Metazoa; Chordata; Mammalia; Primates; Hominidae. The record is from RNAcentral.